Molecule: non-coding RNA, 110 nt
Organism: Glycine max (soybean)
Lineage: Eukaryota; Viridiplantae; Streptophyta; Magnoliopsida; Fabales; Fabaceae
Source: Rfam
AUUUUAUUAGACGUUGACUGUCACGUGUCGUGCGUUUAUUAGACGUUAAUUUUGUGCAUCUAAUUAAUGUCUACAUCCAAUAAAAUCAUGACACAUGACGGUCAAGAUAC